GCCGGGCGGCCGCGGUGCGGGGCGGGGGUGGUUCCUGCGUGGGCCCCGGGGCUGUGGGUUUCUGCCCCCCUCCUCUUCUGUGUGUUUAAUUUUCGUGACAGCCCUGGAGGCGGGUCUGGCCCGCGCCCCGUUUCCUGAUCGAUCGUGCGUUAAGUUGGGCUUUCUCCUCGGCUACGUGCGAUUUUAAAGCAGUUAAAUCAGUAAUACACACUUGUUAUGGCCAAACCUGUCCAGAUAUCCCCCAUCUGAACUUUAGCUGUUACAGAUCUCGGAGUUCAGUGAGAAUUAAGCCUGUGACACCGCAGAGAUAAUUCAGCGUGUGGUGGAGGCCGCUGUGUAAGCUUGGUGGUGGCUUCAUGGUUACUAGAAGAUUAAAUUUGCAGGAUAUGGGCCAUAUAAAUUGCAUUGCAGUUUCCGGCUGCUUUCCUCAAACAUCAAUUGCACAAAGUUUAUGAAUAAAAAUAAAGAUGCCAUGCACCGUUAGGGUUGCAGUGGGAUAUCUGCAGGAGCUGAGCAUCUGCACUGACUCCAGGGGAAUGUUUGAAAGCGUGAAUGGUAAAAUGUGAUGUCACCAGUUUUCCUUUUAUUUUCCUGAGUAUUGACUAUUAUGAAAAAACUGAUGCUCUGUGGCAUUUCCUGCUUACUUUUGCAUUCGAUGUGCACAAUCACAUUUGAUCAUGCAAGGAAGGAGUUUUCGUUAGGAGAGUGGAGUUUUCAGUGCGGCCUGUCCUUCCCCACACGGGUGUGGAUGUAAGCUGAAGAAGGGCUUUUUUCCUUGCAGCAUUUCUAAUCUUAAAACUAUGUUAGCCAGCUCUAGUGAGAGGGCAUUCUCUGACAGGAGAAACCUGUCAAGUCCCUGCCUCAGCUUCACAGGAGGAUCAAGUGAUAGGCUCCCUACAAUCAUCCCCUUGGAAGUGCUUCCCCCUGCACUAUAAAUGACAUGACCUUUUCAAUCAGAUCUAGACUACCAGAUUUGCCGGGAGGUCAUAAACUUCAAAAUGGUCAUUUGAUUUUAAGUAUUACCAUUUUCUGGUUUUUAGUUCUGUUAUUUUAGUUCUAGUCUAUUGGUUUCAUCCAAGUCCUUGGCCCUUUAGUGUGUUUUUCUUAAAUCAUAUUGUCAAAAAACUCAACACCUCUGUCUUCAGCAGAAUGUAAGAAUACCAAUAGUUACUGCAUGAAGAAAUACAUAUUAAAUUAUUGUAUGAUUACAUACAUCAUUGUUUUUAUUAAGCACUCAGUGUGUGUUCAGUGCAGCAUAAAUAUUAAACAAGAUUAUUCUCCCCCUGGUGAGUUUACAGCCUGAAAGAUCUUCAUAGGAAGAUUAAAACACCACCUUUAAAUUAUUCUCUUUUUGUUUCCCUGUGGUUAACACUCAUUUGCUGUUGAUCAUGACUGGUGUAUCCUGGCAUGUCCUGUAGUGCUGUUUGAUGAUGUUACAGACCCCAGUUGUCCACUCUAACGCUCUGUGAGAAGUUCUUGUUCAGCACACGUGGAAGGAGAGCAUAUGUCCCUGCUUCAGCUGCUGCCAUACAGAGCCCAGCAGCAUAGCUGAGACCCACCUUUGAUGGUACUCCAGGCUGAGACUUUGGUUGUUGUAUCAAAGCACCAUUCCCUUCUGCCACCUCGGCUUCCUGUGAGGACAGCUGGAAACACUCAUGUCUUUAACAGCUGCAGCAAGAUUCUAUGAAGCUCCUGUGUUAAAGCUCUGAGAGAAGAGACUCCGCAAAUGGAAAGAGUGGCGUCCAGUUUUCACUGAUUUCUGCUGGAUUUAGGUUCAGUCCCCAGAGGAUAUGACAGGAAGCAAGAGGUCUGACGUGGGGACAUCUUUCUGCUGCAGCUGUAACAAUGAGAAAGGCUGACCCAAGUCACACCAAAAGUCCAGGUAACCUGGUGCCCUGCAGUUCCCUACAGUGGAAAUAUAAGGAGAGAGCAGUUACAGUAUAAUUUCUCCUCCUAUUUACCAGUUCAACCUCUGAUUAUCUAAAGAUGGAAUUGGAGGCUCUCUCCAUUUCUCUGCAAAGCAGCUUGUUUUUCUGUGAAUUUGUCUAGGAACUUCUUGCAACCCUAAGUAUUUUUGGCAUCUAAAAGAUCUCAUGAUGAUGAAUUAUUCAAAUUAAGCAGAUGUUGUUUAAAUAGUACUUCCUUUUGCUUAUCUUACACUUCCAUUUGAAAAAAAUAUUAUUAGAUUCAUCGUUGUUCUCAUAAGAAAUGAGUAAUUGUUCCCUGUUCACCUUUCCCAUGUCAGACUUGAUUUUUGAUACCUUUUUACAUCUCCCAUUUCUCAUCUAUUUUCUAAGUAGUUCCAGAGUAAUUGAUCUAUCUUAGAAGGUAUUCAGUCUUUGUGAUCAAUCUGGUCACUCUUUUUCCUGUUUUUUCAUGGUUUUCCAAUGCUUAAGAUGCUACCACGUGUCAAGAUGCUAUAAGCAGACUUUUGUCUGUAUUAAAGGAAAGAACAUGAUUCCUGAAGAUUUAUAGAGUAGCAUUUUAUUUUAUUGUUGCUUUUUCAUUCUCUUCUGUCCUUAUCAGUCCAAACUGCCUCUCUGAGCAUUGUGAUAACAAUUUCAGAAAACUGUCCAUAGGGACUUCAAAAUAUCUUUGCUGACUGAUAUGAACUAAUUAGGGCCUAUCUACUAUGUUGCACAAGUAGAUUUUUUUUUUCUUCCUUUCAUGGACAUAUGAUCAUUGCAUUUUAGCUGCUGUUUUAUCACCUACUCCAUCUUUAUCAUGAUGUUUCUUUUCUUUUGGCUACUUUGUGUAAGCAGUUUUGGUUUUGAUUUUCGUGAAUAAUUGUGAAUUCCCUAAAAACACUGUCCAAUCCUGUUUCACUUACCACUUGUGAAGAUGUUGUAAAGCUCAGAUGCAUUUGGAAUCUCACUGGUUACUCCCUUUGUGAUCAUUUACCCAUCCAUCUUCCCUUUGAAGUAGUUACCAAUCAGAAAGAGAGCUCACCUCCUCAGCUUUGUAAAACUGUUUGGGGAAAUCUUUAUAUGUGAUUGCUGUAUCCAGGCCGCAUGUUAGAUGUUCUUCACAUCAUGUCCAUAGCUCCUUUAUGGGUCAGACUGGGAAGAUACCCCAAACAUCCUCUGUCUCCCUGUGUGCCACACAUUUGGAUUUCCUUCUGUGGCAAUUAGACUAUGAGGAAAAGCAAGAUGGGGAAUAUGGAUAUUCUCCGUUCAGUCAGAGAGAAAAGGAGCGAGAUUUUGCUAGGCUAAGCCUGGGAAAAAGUCAGCGAGGAAUGUAAACUAUUCAUUAUCUCUCUUUCUGUUCAUAUUGUUUGUAGAUAUGUUCUGCCACCGUGUACUAUUCAUAGUGCACCAAUGGAGUGAAAGGUUUUCACUUUGACACCAAUCAUAUUUCACCUUAGCAAUCCUGGUUAUGAAAGAGGAAUGCUGCUUGUUAAAGUUUUCAUUCUUUGCCUUCUGAUCUUGGAGUCAUCAUUCCCAUCCCUGCCUGAACAGCAACAGGGGGAGGAGAGGAGGAAGAAGAUAGCAGAAGCUGGUACAAACUUGGUCUUCUUCCAAGAGGGAGUUGAUUAAGACUGAGGACUCCAGUGUCCCAGUGUUUAUACAAAGUCUACAUAAGCCAGCUCCUCUUUAUCAAUAUUUGCUGACUUUGCUGACAUUUUUAAAGCACUUCCAGGUUUGCAGUUUCUGCUUCUUCUCAUUACAUGGUGGUGAGCCAUGUGUUAGACUGACUGGGUUGUCAUUUCUGUUUUCUCUGAAGUCUCGUCUAAAAUUUCUAUUCUUCUAGAACUGGGUUCACUCCAAACCAUAAAUUACAAAGCAUAGUUAAUAGUUUGGCGAUUUCAGAUCCAAGCUCCUUUUGAACCCUGGGGUGAAAAAUACAUUGUCCUGGCAGUCAGGUACUCUGCAGUUUACUGAAUGGCUCCAAAACCACAAACACUCAGUUUUGCAAAUAUGUUUUUUCUCAUCAUGCCCCUAAAAAAGGUUUUGUUGUAGCAAUCACCUCAAAAUCUGCCAAAAAGAACAGUGAUGGAAAAAAAGUACUUAAUUUUCUCCUGUUUUCCCUGAAUGCUUCUGUUACAUCUCUGUUGCCUGCUAGUUCCUCACAUUCUCUGGCAGAUCUGUUAUUGAUAUGUUUGGGGGAAAAAAUUAUGCUUCAAAAUAUUUUUUACCUGGUUUAUUAUGGUUUUGCUUUGCCAGUUUAUGCUACUUGCCAGAGUUUAUGUUUCUCCUUUUGGACAGAAACAGAGAAUAACAGUAUUCCACAAGUGAAUGCACAAGUGAACUUCAUAAAAUCACUUGGCUGUUUCCAGUGGGUAUCUAGAAGUACAACCUUGUGGUACUUUGAUGUGCAUUAAAGGCAAAGAAGUUUGUCAAAGGCUGGCUGGAGAAAAAAAGGACUUGGUGAAACGUGGUCCAGAAACUGUAAGUACUGAUGUUUCCAUUAUCUUUCAGUGCAUUUCUGAGCAUUAUCUAUUACAUAUAUUUAUAAAAGGGAUACAGCCAGCCUCCAGACUGGAUGAUAGCUGAAACAAGUUUAUUACCCAAAUUACUGUUUCACAGAAUUCUAACAAUUAAUACUGUGGAGCCCUAUGGCACCAGGUAUUGCACAAACUUAAAGAGAAGGUGAGUCCCUCUCCCAGGCAGCAAAAUUAUUCUGUCCCCAUAGCUUAGAACAUUGUUGAACACUUGUGUUCAGUGUUUAUGUCCAUACAAUGCACUAUGGAUAUAUCAACUGUGAUCCCAAAGCCAUAUUCCAGCACAUAUUUCUCUGCCAUUUAUGCUGAGCAGUGGCACUUCCCACAUGGGAUUUGGCCAACUUAAAGGUUAUUCCCUGAGUAAUGUGUGUGUGUUCUAAGGGCUUUGCUGAAUUAGGACCUUACUUUACAGAAAAUGUAUCUGCUAAUAAAUACAUGUUAUGCUUGAUCAAGCUUAGCAUUAAGUGCCUUGUCUCCUCUUUUCACAUCUAAACUCCACCUGUGGUGAGAGUAAUUUAUCUUGAAUUGCUUUAAUGCAGUGUUUAAGUAUGUCUUCUUGGCCACAAAGCAGUCUGCAUGUAUUUCUGUGAGAGGCUUAAAAUCCCAUUCACAUUUUUAAUAUACAGUUUUCUCACAUAAAUUAAUCACAGCUUGGUUGGCAGGUCUUGCAUGAGUAAUAAGGUUGUUGGCACAAACACAAACCACGGAUCUGUUAGGUAAAGGAGAAGCUUUUGUUUGCUUCUGUAUUUACACAAGAGGUUUAACUUGUACAAAAUGAUUUAAGGUAUUGGUGUUUUGCUAGCAGGACAUGACAAGCCGUGAGAUAACAUAUCCUCCCCAAAAUGCAUCAACAGAGUUACAAAUAAAUCCCCACACACUGGUUUGAAAAUUAAACUCUUGCUAUGCAAAGUAUUUUCACAAUAUGCAGCUUCCAUUGCUUAUAUACACAGGCAGACAACAGCCAGAAACUUACUGUUAUAUAAAAGGGCUAUGCUCUUGAAAGAGAGUUGAGCUGAAUGUACUUUUUACAUGAGAAAGGAAUGUGCUCUUUCGGGUAAAUAAUGACAAAGUGACAUUUCAGUUUGCUUUCUCUCUUUCAUUCAUAAUUUUGGGAAGUGAUUGCUCAGGGUAUAUAACAUGUAACCCAGAAUUCUGCAAAGUAAGUUUUUUUGCUGAAUUUUUCUGAGCAAUACCAGCACUCAAACAUUCUGCAGUGCAAUUUUGCUUCAUUGCUGUUGUAAGAGCACGAGCUGGAGAGCUUUGUCUCAAUAUCUGUUUAGUGCUCUUGCGAUGUAGGCCUGACCUGAAUUACUCUGCACAUGGUGGGAAUCUUCCACUGCCUUGAUUUAGGGCUUUGAAUAAAAUCUUCUGUAAACAACAAAAUGCAGAAAAGACAAUGUAUUGCAAGGAAUUAACUUUGGAAUGUAUAUAUAACAUCUGCAUUUGUCACAAAUUUUGUGUUAGAUCAGCAAAACAAAUCCCUUUGUAGCACUGCAAGGUUGCAUUUGCCAAAAUGAUGUGUAGUUCUAUGGUCACCACACUGAGUGCUUUGGGUUGCUCCUCCAUCACACACUGUUGAAAGCAAUGUAUCAAUUAUUGCUCUUCUCAGAUUGAACAUAACUGUAGCUUUGACACAAACAAUGCACAAGAAAAUUAUAUGAAAUUGUGAGAGACGGAAUUGGAAUCUUAAGUGCAAAUGUAUUGAAAUGUAUGUGUGCAAUUCACCAUGAACCAAAAGAGAAUUACCAGGAAACCAAGACAACUCUGCAGCCAAGGGUGCCUUUAAUGCACAGAAGAACAUAUGCCCUGCUCGAGAGGCUGGCAGCAGCUCACAAAGAGGAUACAGUUGCUGGAUGUCUCUACUUGCACCACAAUCAGUCUCUCAAUGUAACUACAGAGAUGUUCAGGAAGAGCUGGAGAAACAGGAGUGCAACAAGGAAUGGCUUUACUGACACUGUGUGUAUUAUUUUGGGGCUUUAUGAAAGCAUCAGUCUAGCAAUUGUUCAAUCCAUGGGAAUCAUUCACAUUUCAAGGUUUGUCAUCUUUUAGAUUUUUGUUAAUAAAAUAUAAUUUUACAAUUUA
This is an RNA transcript of Taeniopygia guttata (zebra finch), 6523 nucleotides long. It is a transcript of the gene named transmembrane protein 177, with no coding region annotated. NCBI's taxonomy places the organism in Eukaryota, Metazoa, Chordata, Aves, Passeriformes, Estrildidae. The record is from RefSeq and is a predicted model, not a curated record.